Long non-coding RNA from Homo sapiens (human), 319 nucleotides. RefSeq lists it as uncharacterized. The record is from RefSeq and is a predicted model, not a curated record. NCBI's taxonomy places the organism in Eukaryota, Metazoa, Chordata, Mammalia, Primates, Hominidae. The transcript is spliced from 2 exons.
GGGCGGAGGAGCCAGGAGAGGCGGGGAGGCACGGGGUGUGAAGUGCGGCCUGUAUAGCAACCGGCGCACGGCGCCUUCCGCGGGUUGUGACCUUUGAAGAGAAAUGCCGUAGAAGCAUGGACGUGGCUUUUCACCAAGGUUAUUCACUAAUUUAAGUGUUUUUUUUAAUUUUAUUUUAUUUUAUUUUAUUUUUUGAGACAGGUACUCACUCUGUCUCCCAGGCCGGAGUGCAAUUAUCUGUACAAUUGAUAAUCUAUAAGAUGGUCCAACCUGCGUAACAGAGUGAGAUUCCGUCUCAAAAAAAAAAAAAAAAAAGAAA